UACGUAGGGGGGCAAGCGUUGUCCGGAUUCAUUGGGCGUAAAGAGCGUGUAGGCGGCCAGGUAGGUCGGUUGUGAAAACUGGAGGCUCAACCUUCAGAGGUCGACCGAAACCAUCUGGCUAGAGUCCGGGAGAGGAGAGUGGAAUUCCCUGGUGUAGCGGUGAAAUGCGCAGAUAUCAGGAAGAACACCCGUGGCGAAGGCGGCUCUCUGGGACGGUACUGACGCUGAGACGCGAAAGCGUGGGGAGCGAACAGG
This 255-nucleotide ribosomal RNA is filed under the name uncultured bacterium. Its description in RNAcentral is "partial 16S ribosomal RNA". It matches the Rfam family "Bacterial small subunit ribosomal RNA", at positions 524 to 776 of the family's 1533-position model. The record is from RNAcentral.